CUAAGAAUAUUCCGCAAUGGACGGAAGUCUGACGGAGCGACGCCGCGUGGAUGAAGAAGGCCGAAAGGUUGUAAAGUUCUUUUGCUGGGGAAGAAUAACCGCAGGAGGGAAUGCCUGUGGGAUGACAAGAACCGGCGAAUAAGCCCCGGCCAACUACGUGCCAGCAGCCGCGGUAACACGUAGGGGGCGAGCGUUGUUCGGAAUUACUGGGCGUAAAGGGCAUGUAGGCGGCUUGGAAAGCCUGGCGUGAAAGUCUGCAGCUUAACUGCAGGGGUGCGCUGGGAACUGCUGAGCUUGAGUGACGGAGAGGGAGCUGGAAUUCCUGGUGUAGGGGUGAAAUCUGUAGAUAUCAGGAAGAACACCGAUGGCGAAGGCAAGCUCCUGGCCGAUGACUGACGCUGAGGUGCGAAAGUGUGGGGAUCAAACAGGAUUAGAUACCCUGGUAGUCCACACAGUCAACGAUGUGCACUAGGUGCUGGGGCGGUAGCUUCGGUGCCGGAGCGAACGUGGUAAGUGCACCGCCUGGGGAGUAUGCUCGCAAGGGUGAAACUCAAAUGAAUUGACGGGGGUCAUANCUG
This 578-nucleotide ribosomal RNA is filed under the name uncultured bacterium. Its description in RNAcentral is "partial 16S ribosomal RNA". It matches the Rfam family "Bacterial small subunit ribosomal RNA", at positions 355 to 928 of the family's 1533-position model. The record is from RNAcentral.